This 113-nucleotide ribosomal RNA is filed under the name Castor canadensis (American beaver). Lineage: Eukaryota; Metazoa; Chordata; Mammalia; Rodentia; Castoridae. The record is from RNAcentral.
UGUGUAGGCCAUACCACCCUGAACGUGCCAUAUCUUAUCUGAUCUCGGAAGCUAAGGAGGAUCAGGCCUGGUUAGUUCUUGGAUUGGAAAAACAUCCACAGAUGUCUACCUGA